Molecule: ribosomal RNA, 534 nt
Filed under: Hyloscirtus phyllognathus (Roque treefrog)
Lineage: Eukaryota; Metazoa; Chordata; Amphibia; Anura; Hylidae
Description: partial 12S ribosomal RNA
Rfam family: Bacterial small subunit ribosomal RNA
Source: RNAcentral
AAAACGCCCUUAAGCCCUAGCAGGGCCAAGGAGCCGGUAUCAGGCACAAUUAUUAGCCCAAAACACCUAGCUAUGCCACACCCACAAGGGACCACAGCAGUAAUUAACCUUGAACAUAAGCGCCAGCUUGAUUCAGUUAAAGUAAAAAGGGCCGGCAAAUGUGGUGCCAGCCGCCGCGGUUACACCAUCUGACCCAAACUGACCUCUUACGGCGUAAAGCGUGAUUAAUUUUUUCUCCCCACUGUAGUUAAACUAACACUAAGCCGUAAAACACUUUUAGUUAGGAAACCCAAAAACGAAAGUUACUACAUACAAAACAAUUUGAAUUCACUAAAGUUGAGGCACAAACUAGGAUUAGAUACCCUACUAUGCUUAACCUUAAACUCUUAACUUACACCACCUAUCGCCAGGGAACUACGAGCAAAGCUAAAACCCAAAGGACUUGACGGUACCCCAUACCCCCCUAGAGGAGCCUGUCCUUUAAAUCGAUAAUCCACGUUAAACCUCACCACUUCUAGCCAUCAGUCUGUAUAC